Molecule: transfer RNA, 75 nt
Filed under: Acidobacteriota bacterium
Lineage: Bacteria; Pseudomonadati; Acidobacteriota
Also listed under: 2 other names
Description: tRNA-Glu
Rfam family: tRNA
About the family: Transfer RNA (tRNA) molecules are approximately 80 nucleotides in length.
Source: RNAcentral
GGCCCAUUCGUCUAACGGUUAGGACGCGGCCCUCUCAAGGCCGAAAUACGGGUUCGAUUCCCGUAUGGGCUACCA